UUGAUCAAGAACUUAGGCUACCAAGUAUGUUAUUUAGUUAUAUUCAGACGUAUAUUCAGACGCAUAUAGCCCAUGUUGCCAUUUUCCUUUAACUUGUGUUUUUUGCGGUUGUUAAAGACAAUUUAAUCAUCAGUGACAACUUCUGUGUUACCAGUUCUAUCUAUUCAGAAUGUCAGUGUUUUAUCAUCUGAAUACUGAAUACGUUUUUGGACAUCUUCGCAAGGUUGCUAUUAACAAUAUAGUCUGGCUGACCUAUUUGUUCAGCGUGGAAGUCUAUAAGUCUUAAAUAUUACUCUGCCCUCGCUGUUUUUCAUUCUUCUCCAGCUCUGAUUAUGCUGGUCCUCAAAAUAAAUACUUGUUCUCAAGUUAAUUUUACCACUGGGGCCUCGACUGUUCCCAGCUGUCCCUCCUCCCAUCCACUCUUGAACUGGUCCCUGACCAUACAUGGUCUUAGUUGAAGAAAGCGGCAGGCCAAGAGAGCUAGGAAGAAGUGAUCUGCCACUCAUACAAGCCUGUGUGUGAAAGGGAGGACUCGGUAGCGCUGGCCAUGUUACUCCCCCACCGCAGAAAUUUACACUGUAAUAGUGUAGAGCUAAAAAUAGGUACCAGAUGUCUGUCUGAGCUGCCACACUUUCUCAGGCAACAGAGGUGAAGCAUGGAACGUGUGGAAAUUCCCCUCCAGAAAUCCACUGACAGCACCGGUCUAGGUUGGACCCAGUGGUGUUCAUUAUCAGCUUCAUUAUCAAACUGAAGGGCAUCAGAUGAUGUGUGCAGACUGUCUUACACAUGAUGCAUGUCAAACUAGGACACAAUUCCCCAAUGUCACUUAGCACUUUAAAGACUACAGAGAAGGAGAGGGGGAAGGUUAGUGCGUCUGCUCUGUGAAAUAUUGUCAUGAAUCGCUCCUGACUCUUGACUCCACGGCUCACCUUACAGAUGUGGUUUCUGCUGAAUUCUAACGGCGGGUCAGUACAUCAGGAGGAAGGCCGACGAAGAGUAACUGGAACUCUAAAUACAAAUAAAUCUCAACCGUAUCAGAAAACAAGGCUUAUUGGAAAGACAUAAAUCAUUCCUAGGAAAAUGGAUGGAUUUAUUUUUUCUCAACCAACCUUGAGCUCAUCUAAUGUAUGAUUUAAAGACAUGUUUCCUGUUAUGACAAUCACCGUCGAAAAGCAUUACAUGGUCUGGUA
Puntigrus tetrazona (Sumatra barb) is the source of this 1190-nucleotide long non-coding RNA. RefSeq lists it as uncharacterized. The transcript has 5 exons. NCBI's taxonomy places the organism in Eukaryota, Metazoa, Chordata, Actinopteri, Cypriniformes, Cyprinidae. The record is from RefSeq and is a predicted model, not a curated record.